RNAcentral lists this transfer RNA (73 nucleotides) under Planctomycetota bacterium. Its description in RNAcentral is "tRNA-Leu". It matches the Rfam family "tRNA". Rfam says of the family: Transfer RNA (tRNA) molecules are approximately 80 nucleotides in length. Their secondary structure includes four short double-helical elements and three loops (D, anti-codon, and T loops). The record is from RNAcentral. RNAcentral also lists the same sequence under 1 other name. Lineage: Bacteria; Pseudomonadati; Planctomycetota.
GGCCGCGUAGCCCAACGGAAGAGGCAUCCGGCUCAGACCCGGACCAGUGCAGGUUCGAAUCCUGCCGCGGCUA